Long non-coding RNA from Thalassophryne amazonica, 152 nucleotides. RefSeq lists it as uncharacterized. The record is from RefSeq and is a predicted model, not a curated record. The transcript has 3 exons. NCBI's taxonomy places the organism in Eukaryota, Metazoa, Chordata, Actinopteri, Batrachoidiformes, Batrachoididae.
UAUUAACACGUCGGCUACAAACAAGAAAUAUUAAAGGGAUGCACUUAAGAGUAAUUGAGGCCUCCGCUGUGCAUGUGAAUUUGUGACCACGCUGGGUCAGAUGAUGUUAUAAACAUCAUUCAGUAUUCUGUGGUCAGCAUCGGGCUGACUCA